Molecule: ribosomal RNA, 1806 nt
Filed under: marine metagenome
Description: bacterial LSU rRNA
Rfam family: Bacterial large subunit ribosomal RNA
Source: RNAcentral
GGUGAAAAGAACCCCGGGAGGGGAGUGAAAUAGACCUGAAACCAUAUACCUACAAGCCGUAGAAGCCUUUUUUAAAGGUGACUGCGUGCCUAUUGAAGAAUGAGCCUGCGAGUUAAUUUAAAUAGCAUGGUUAAAGGAUAAAAGUUCUGGAGCCGUAGCGAAAGCGAGUCUGAAUAGGGCGAAUUUGUUGUUUGGAUUAGACCCGAAACCGGGUGAGCUACCCAUGGCCAGGUUGAAGCUAAGAUAAUAUCUUGGUGAAGGACCGAACCCGUGUAAAGUGCAAAUUGCUGGGAUGAGCUGUGGGUAGAGGUAAAAUGCCAAUCGAACCCGGAGAUAGCUGGUUCUCUCCGAAAUGUAUUUAGGUACAGCGUUAAAUUAGUCUUAGGGAGGUAGAGCACUGGAUGGAUAAGGGGGCGUAAGCCUACCAAGUUCAACCAAACUCCGAAUGCCUUAAGAUGAUGUUUAGCAGUGAGACCGUGGGGGAUAAGCUCCAUUGUCAAAAGGGAAACAGCCCAGAUCACAAGCUAAGGUCCCUAAGUCUGAACUAAGUGGGAAAGGAAGUUAGAAUCCACAAACAGCCAGGAGGUUGGCUUAGAAGCAGCCACCCUUUAAAGAAAGCGUAAUAGCUCACUGGUCGAGGUUUUUAGCGCCUAAAAUGUAACGGGGCUAAAGUUCAGCACCGAAGCUGUGAGUUUCUUAUUUUUAAUAAGAAGCGGUAGGAGAGCGUUGUCAGUGCACUGAAUCUGAAAUGUGAGUUUUGGUGGAGCGCUGAGAAGUGAGAAUGCAGGCAUGAGUAGCGACAAUCGUGGUGAGAAUCCACGACACCGGAAGCCCAAGGUUUCCUACGCAAUGUUGAUCAUCGUAGGGUUAGUCGGGCCUAAGUGGUAGCGUAUAGCGAACACGAUGGACAUCGGGUCAAAAUUCCCGAACCGUUCAUGUUGUGUUUUAAAAUAAAGGGGGGACGCAAGAAGGUAAGUAAAGCAUAUCUAUUGGACAUGAUAUGUUUGUUUUUGUAGAUGAUGACCAGAUAGGUAAAUCCGUCUGGUAUUUUAGUUGAGGAAAACAAAAACUAGAGAGCUUAGCUCAAAGGAAUUUUGCUGAUCCUAUGUUGCCAAGAAAAUCCUCGUUAUUAAUAACAUGAGCGACCGUACCGCAAACCGACACAGGUAGGCAGGGAUAAACGUCCCAAGGUGAACGAAAGAACCUUCGUUAAGGAACUCGACAGAUUGACCCCGUAACUUAGGGAGAAGGGGUGCCUGUUAUUUGAUACUGAUUUACUUAGUAAAGGAUAAUAGGCCGCAGUGAAUCGGUCCAAGCGACUGUUUAUCAAAAACAUAGGUCUAUGCUAAAGCGAAAGCUGAUGUAUAUGGGCUGACGCCUGCCCAGUGCCGGAAGGUUAAGAGGAGAGGUUAGGAUUUAUCCAAAGCUUUGAAUUGAAGCCCCGGUGAACGGCGGCCGUAACUAUAACGGUCCUAAGGUAGCGAAAUCCCUUGUCAGGUAAGUUCUGACCCGCACGAAUGGCGUAACGACUUGGACAUUGUCUCAACGAAGGACUCGGUGAAAUUGCAGGACCAGUGAAGAUGCUGGUUACCUACGACAGGACAAAAAGACCCCGUGGAGCUUUACUGCAGCUUGGCAGUGAUUUAGGCUUAUAAACAUGUAGGAUAGGCGGGAGACUUUGAAGCUUUAACGCUAGUUAGAGUGGAGUCGCCCUUGAAAUACCGCCUUUUUAUAAUCUUGGAUCUAACUUUAUUUUAUUAUGAAGGACCCUGCCUGGUGGGCAGUUUGACUGGGGCGGUCGCCUCC